UGGGGAAUAUUGGACAAUGGGGGAAACCCUGAUCCAGCAAUGCCGCGUGAGUGAAGAAGGCCUUAGGGUUGUAAAGCUCUUUCGCCCGCGAAGAUAAUGACGGUAGCGGGAGAAGAAGCCCCGGCUAACUCCGUGCCAGCAGCCGCGGUAAUACAGAGGGGGCAAGCGUUAUUCGGAAUUAUUGGGCGUAAAGGGCGCGUAGGCGGUGUCUUAAGUGGGAUGUGCAAUCCCCGGGCUUAACCUGGGAACUGCAGCCCAGACUGGGACGCUGGAGUACUGGAGAGGGUGGUGUAAUUCCACGUGUAGCGGUGAAAUGCGUAGAGAUGUGGAGGAACACCAGUGGCGAAGGCGGACACCUGGACAGUAACUGACGCUGAGGCGCGAAAGUGUGGGUAGCAAACA
RNAcentral lists this ribosomal RNA (402 nucleotides) under uncultured bacterium. RNAcentral's name for it is "bacterial SSU rRNA". It matches the Rfam family "Bacterial small subunit ribosomal RNA", at positions 355 to 774 of the family's 1533-position model. The record is from RNAcentral.